Arabidopsis lyrata subsp. lyrata is the source of this 1956-nucleotide long non-coding RNA. RefSeq lists it as uncharacterized. The transcript has 13 exons. The record is from RefSeq and is a predicted model, not a curated record. Lineage: Eukaryota; Viridiplantae; Streptophyta; Magnoliopsida; Brassicales; Brassicaceae.
UGCUUUUUCUAUUUCUUUUUUUUCCGUGGGAGUUAAUAGAGAGAGAGAAGAAGAAGAGCAUUGAGGAUUUUAAUGUAGAAAGAUAUUUGUAGAAGACAUCUUUCAAGAGAAAGGAUAGGAUGUGUUUGGGUGUUUAUGAGCAUGUUUGACUUCAGACAUGGUGGAUCUAACCAGAAGCUUUUGAUGGAUAAGAAACGUGGAAGCAAAAGAAUCAUAGGUAAUAAUGGAAUGUUUGAGACUAAGGUUGAGAAGCAGCUUACUUGUGACUGUGAGUGAAGCUGAAAUGCAGAGUGUCAAGAUACUAAGAUGAGAUUGAUGAGAAGUCUAAGAAAGACAACUUUACAAUUGCUCUGUUUCAUUACGAUGGGAUAGCAAGUGAGUGGAAUGACGAGUUUGAGUGGAGCUAAAUUUGAUUCAAUCUGAAUGUUAAUGUUCUUAAACCAAACCACAAAUCAAAGAGAUAUUGAGUCUGAGAUCGAGGUGAGCCAAGAAGGCAAAGUAAGGGAAUUGUCAUGGAUAAUGUUAACUCUAGAUUAAAGGUUCAAGGAAAAGCCGAACGCAUUAUCACAACCCUUAAAUUCGAAAAAGAAGAAGGAGACAUCACUCAACAAGGAAAAGAUACUAACUCUUCAACUAAAGGAAGAGUUAGCAGAGAUAGACACACGAAAUACAGAGUUGUACAAGAUUGGAUGUGGUGAAGAAGGAGAACACAUUUGCAUGGCUUAUAAAAAGAACCAUUGGGUCUCAUCUCUCCAAUCAUGUUGAGGAGUAAUCAACGACGGUGGAUUGAGGCGUACACGGCGGUGGCACUACCAGAGAGGUUAACUGUUAAAUUUUCUAAAUUCUACUCUUUUAAUCUCUCAAUCAAAUUAUCAGUAGUGGCUACAUGUAAUGGAGACUUAAAACGAAGGAUUCAAAAGUUUGCAGAUUCCUGGUGUGCCGAUUAUGUAUGUGAUGACUUACGGCUAUCCUGAAUUCUAGAAGCUUUGGUAACAAGAUCUGUGGGAUAACAAUUAUAGAAGGGAAAGUCAUGCUAAUAACGUGCUGCUCUCUUUUCUUUUGAUUAUACUUGUGAGCAGAUGCAACAGGUGGCAGAGAUGGUGAGAAUAAGAUAGCUCGAAUGAGAGUCUUGGAGAUGACAAUGUUCAGCAUAAUCAUCACAUGAAGAGCUUACCAUCGGUCCGUACCCCAGGCAUACGUCGUCUUUGAAGACAAGGGAAUCACCACUAACUCAAGGAUCGAUAACACAUCUAUAUGAUCUUUUGGUGAAUGGUAGCUCGGAAUCUUGGAAAAAGUCUGCGUACAUUUCAUCCAACGAUUAGAGAGCAGACUUUUGUUUUGUUUUUUUAUCUCAAGACUUUAAGAAAAAAAUGAGGUUUGUUUUUUUUAUCUUAACACUUUGAGCAUGGUGGUAGCAGUCUCUGCCUUUUGGAUUGCUCUUUUGCAGGCUGCAGUUAUUUCGCGAAGCAGUACAUGGUUGCUACCGAUAUACUUUGUAGUGUCCCUGGGAUGCUAUGGUCUAUUAAUAGUUUGAAUUAGUCUAAUGCAGUUCCUACCUGUCCUACAGAUGCAUUCUCUUGCAGCAUGGACUUUCUUUACCCUUUUCUUAAGAGCAGUUCUCUUGCAGCAUGUACUUAACCUUUUUCUUUCGUUGUUAACCUUGAAUUCUCAAAGCUUAUUAGGGUAUAAUUUAGUUCUUUGCAGAAUAUUACAGAGGCAAGCUAAGAGACUUCUUAAGCGUUAAUAGAGCAUUAACCUCUCACCUACAUAACAAUUGUAUUAUAAUAUUGUAUGUGGGAGAUGUACUUUGAGAAAUCAGGGUUAGCAAUUGGAAUUUUUAGGGCUUUAAAUAUGAGCUGAACAAGAAACUCUUCAAACACAUUCAUUUGUGUCGAUAGUUGCAUUUGUUUCUGUCUGAAACUCUGGUAAUAAUAAUAAAAACAUGCAUGGUAUGUA